This 495-nucleotide ribosomal RNA is filed under the name uncultured bacterium. Its description in RNAcentral is "partial 16S ribosomal RNA". It matches the Rfam family "Bacterial small subunit ribosomal RNA", at positions 28 to 505 of the family's 1533-position model. The record is from RNAcentral.
GAUGAACGCUGGCGGCGUGCCUAAUACAUGCAAGUCGAGCGAACAGACGAGGAGCUUGCUCCUCUGACGUUAGCGGCGGACGGGUGAGUAACACGUGGAUAACCUACCUAUAAGACUGGGAUAACUUCGGGAAACCGGAGCUAAUACCGGAUAAUAUAUUGAACCGCAUGGUUCAAUAGUGAAAGACGGUUUUGCUGUCACUUAUAGAUGGAUCCGCGCCGCAUUAGCUAGUUGGUAAGGUAACGGCUUACCAAGGCAACGAUGCGUAGCCGACCUGAGAGGGUGAGCGGCCACACUGGAACUGAGACACGGGCCAGACUCCUACGGGAGGCAGCAGUAGGGAAUCUUCCGAAAUGGGCGAAAGCCUGACGGAGCAACGCCGCGUGAGUGAUGAAGGUCUUCGGAUCGUAAAACUCUGUUAUUAGGGAAGAAAAAAUGUGUAAGUAACUAUGCACGUCUUGACGGUACCUAAUCAGAAAGCCACGGCUAACUACG